GAUGUUUGUGCAAAUUUGCUGCUUUGUGUAAGAGUGGAAGGGGAAGUGAAUUUCUCUGAGGCUUGGGGAGUGGGUUCUUCUGUAAACGAACACGUCCUGAUGAGAGGCUGCUAACCAGCAGCUUUCUUGAGAGUUUAGGGGAUCUCUUAGAUUCCAGCUGCGUUUCUCGGAAGUCCUUCAAGCUGAGGUGAUGCUCCGGCAUAUGUGAGGAAUCCAGAGAUUUGACUGGAAGGAGAGGGGACUCCUUGGCACUCUCAGCUGAAUCCCUGAAGAUGCCUACGGUUGACGCAUUGUGGAUAUCCGCUGCAAAGUCUUUCUCCUGGUUUGCAGCAAUGCCUUCUGUUGGACAAGCUGCAAUAAUGACCUCACAGUUGCUCUGUGCCUUCUUUUGGCCUUUGGGUCUUGGUCCUCUCUGGAACUGACCACCAUCUUGCUUGGCAAAGUCGUCUUCAUCGCUGGCAUCGCCAUCAUAGAAAGCAAUUCUCCUCUGCCUCUGGAACGCGGUUCGGCUACCUUUGGGGCUAUCGCUGAAACUCACGUGCCGAACUGCUUCCCUGUGCUUGUUCACAGGACCAGGUCAAAAAGUUAUUAAACGCUGCCUUCGAAACAAGACCACUCAGCUGAAUUUUAGGACUUUUACCAACCCGACUCACUGGCUCCAAGAAACGCUUCAUCGUCCAGCUCAGAGGCGAGGAGGCAUCACUCUGCUUCGACUUCACGCUUGGGGAUGGACUCUUGGGCAGGUUACCUGUGAAACGGAAUGGACCGCAUUGAUAUCUUUUUUAUUCCUUCUCCCCCGCCCUCCUCUCAAGAGCUUAGGCAUCAUAGAUGGUUUCCCCACUCUAUUUUACCAUCACAACUAUCAUGUAAGUAGAAACCAUGAGGAUGUGACAGAUUGAGAAUGAGCUGAAUGGUAAAGUGGAGAUUUGUGAUGUAGUGACUGGAAGAUUAUACUAAGACCUGGGAGGAGGAGGAGGAGGAGUUUGGAUUUAUAUCCAACCUUUCUCUCCUGUAAGGAGACUCAAGGUGGCUUACAAGC
This is a long non-coding RNA of Sphaerodactylus townsendi, 1039 nucleotides long. RefSeq lists it as uncharacterized. Lineage: Eukaryota; Metazoa; Chordata; Lepidosauria; Squamata; Sphaerodactylidae. The record is from RefSeq and is a predicted model, not a curated record. The transcript is spliced from 3 exons.